CCUACGGGGGGCUGCAGUGAGGAAUAUUGGUCAAUGGCCGGAAGCCUGAACCAGCCAAGCCGCGUGAAGGACGAAGGUGCCAAGCAUUGUAAACUUCUUUUGUCAAGGGACAAAAUCAGGCUCGAGAGCCUGACCGAGGGUACUUGAAGAAAAAGCAUCGGCUAACUCCGUGCCAGCAGCCGCGGUAAUACGGGGGAUGCGAGCGUUAUCCGGUUUUAUUGGGUUUAAAGGGUGCGUAGGGGGGCUGUUAAGUCAGCGGUAAAAGCCGGGGGCUAAACCUCGGCGAGCAGUUGAUACUGGCUGUCUUGAGAUGUCGUGAGGUAUGCGGAAUGCGCAGUGUAGCGGUGAAAUGCUUAGAUAUUGCGCAGAACUCCGAUUGCGAAGGCAGCAUACCGGCGGCGCUCUGACGCUGAGGCACGAAAGCGUGGGUAUCGAACAGGAUUAGAUACCCCUGUAGUC
This 459-nucleotide ribosomal RNA is filed under the name uncultured bacterium. RNAcentral describes it as "partial 16S ribosomal RNA". It matches the Rfam family "Bacterial small subunit ribosomal RNA", at positions 338 to 795 of the family's 1533-position model. The record is from RNAcentral.